GAGAAAAUACAAAAAGUGCCAUUAAUUAAAUAAAGCACAAAAUUUCAAGAUAUCUUAACAAUCUUCGCGUCAAACUUUCAAGUCAUUUUUAGUGUCUUCCUAACACUUUUUGGGCACAAGCUAUGAAAUAACUUCAGUUAGAUCUUUCAAUUCCCUUCGAAUCAAUAUGUUAUGAGCCCAAAACGAAGGCAUGUAGCUUAA
RNAcentral lists this long non-coding RNA (201 nucleotides) under Gossypium barbadense (sea-island cotton). RNAcentral's name for it is "long non-coding RNA (GBAR_LNC007634)". The record is from RNAcentral. Lineage: Eukaryota; Viridiplantae; Streptophyta; Magnoliopsida; Malvales; Malvaceae.